ACAAAAUUUGACCAAUACUUUCAUAGAAAAAAUUUAGAAAGUAAAAAAAUUCUUAUCUACAUAAUAAAAUUGAUCAUAAAGUUUCAGUUCUAUAAAAUAUAAUCCAGCUAUGAUCAUAGAAAUGAUAACUACACUACAUUCAUGGACUUCAUUUUGCUAGUAGAAAUCAAACAUCUAGAGGAUGACAAUUUAAAACAUAUAAAAACACUACACACCACACUCCAAAGAUCUAAGUCCCCUCUAAUAUACAGAACAAUUGAGUAUUAAUUGUAUUUCAAAGUUGAAGAUCCAAGGCAAGAACACAGCAAGAGUUUGGGAAUCUUUUGAGACUACCAGUGUUGAAGAAUGCAUACAAGCAUGAAUUCAUGCAAUGCAUCUUGCAUGCUCAAGCUGACUGAAAAAGAGUCGUUUGUGACCCCAUCAUUAAAUCCUCAAGAAUGUCUCAACACCAUAGCAUGCUCAAGUCCAAAAGAACUUAGAAGGUUGACGCUAAUGCUACCACAGGACAAAAAAGGUGCGACAACAAACCAGUCCUCCAUCUCAAGCAAUCUAGCUAAUACCAAGUAAUAUGAAGUUUCAAUUUCGUUCACCAUGGACUAGCAAAAGAAUUUCUCAUGGCAAUGUCAAAUACGAUUUAGAGAUAAGAAGCCAUCAGGCAAUUACAUGAGAAUUGUAUAAAUAUACCAUUCAAGUAAGAUCCACGGAUUGAAAUGUUGUUCUAAUUCCAUGUGGCAUAAAUCUAUGAUUUUCCCUUGCUGCUGCUAACCUGAAGGAUAGAAACACAAUGACGCCAACCCCAUUGCCUGCCUUGGUACAAAUAGUCUCUCUCUCCCCAGUUCAGCAAAUGGAUCCAUGAGCUUAGUAGAGGGUGUUGUAACCAAAAAGAAUAACCUAAAUUUAUGAAUUUCCAGUUGGUGUAGAAUUUGGUUCUGAUGAUCCAACUAUUUCUUCAAAGGCUUCCAUAUCAAUGGUCAUAUCAUCAUCAAUAUCGGCCUCCUGCACCUCAGCCAUUAUUUCAUCCCCAUCUCCUACCAUAGGUUCAACCCCAUUUUGUAUUGAAUUGGAUUGCGGCUGUGGUUCCUCAUGUGCUUUAUCUGGUUCAUCUAGCUUUUGCAUUGUUUGUGGAUAAGGAUCCAUGCAAACCGUUAAUGUAGAGGUCACCAACAGAUUCUUCUCUAGUGCAAGGGCAAGCUUUGACAGAUUUGGAUAGAUACUUCUUGCAGCCAAUAGGAUCUCACAGAGUCUCUGCAGGGUAAAUGGAGGACCUUCAUCAAAACUAUGAAGAGCUGUAGAGCAGGAAACACAAAUUUAUAAAUAGUUUCAUCCAAGAAAAAAGGAAUAUAUGAUUUAUAAUAUUUUUUUUCAAUUAGCCAAAGCAUAUAAAAGGGGGUUUGCCAGAAAAUGCUUUCAAUGGGGACAACAGCAAUCCUAAAUAGGAUUCUUGGCCUCAAGGACCUUGCAAAAAUUAGGGUUCACAGGAAGACCAGAAGCUAAAUCAUAUAUGGCACUCUGGUUUGUGGUUGGGUCUGAGUAAUCAAUUACUGGAUACUUCUCCCCCAUGAGUGUCAACGCUUACUCCAGUUUUCUAUUUCUAACAUCCUUGCUGAAAGUGUAUGGUGUUACAUUAUGCCAAUGACCAAAAAAUGGACAAUUGACGACUUUAUGCAAGGGUUGAAUGUCAAGGAAGAGAAUACAACUUUCCAUCAUAAAAGCUUGGGGAUCAUGCUUCAGCCCUGAUGGAGAACAGUCAAAGUUCACAUUUUUCAAAUCAGUUCCAGCAUAACUCAAACCUAAACCCAUUCCAGCCAAAAUCAGACUUCCACCCUUUCACAAAUUCAUUUAGAGAAUUUCUUUAGGUUUAUAUCCAAGGAUAACUUCCUUUUUGAGACAAAAUUAACAUCAAUGCUUAUGAGACACAUAGCCAAGUCCACAUGUCAAUUCUGACAAUUCAUCCAAGCCAUACUCAUCGUUCUAACAUGAGACUUGGCCUAUCUUGUCAUGAUCCCCCUUUUUAACAUUAACAAAUUCAAUAACAUUGUAUUGCCAAUUUAAACAAGACUCAUCUUGUAGACAGCUAAAAGCAAAGCAAUAAUGGUUUUGAAUCUACCUUCAUCCAACCUUUUCAUCAGUUCUUCAUAAGUUUCUCCCAAUAUAGCAUUCUGCUCCUCACUAGUCAUUUUUGCCUCAGGAUACUCUGAUAGAACCUUGAUGAAUUAGGAAAAAAAAAGUUGAGUAUCAUCAUCCAGGAACCAAUUAUAAAGAAAAUUAUGCACUUUUUAUUCUUAAAAUUAAAUCUAUAAAAGUGAUCACUGAUCAUUGUGAAGAAAUAAGAGACCUACAUGGUAGCAUGUCCCCAUACCUGCUUCAGAUGAAAGGAUAUCAUGCUCUUCAAUUUGUCCCAAUCAUGCCUAAGGUACAAAUCAAGAAACAAACACACAAUAAUAGGAGUUGAAAUGUUGAAUUAUAGUGACCAUCCACCUAUAUAUUUAAUAGUCAGAAAAAAAAAUGAUAUCUAUUCACUUCAUAAAUGCACACAUGCAAGCUUCUACAUGUAUAACAAAAUGUGUCCAUUUUCGCUAGUUAUUAAUUGUAUGAAUUAUGUCUACAUAAGAGAAAAGUACAUGCUAAAACUAAUCCAAACCUCAUUAAUCAAAUCAGAUAAGGAAAAACUAGUAUUAAGCUAAAUACGUACCAAAAUUUCCCAGUGGAUGCAAUAAGUUCAAGAAUGCCUCUAACUUCUUCUUUGUCAAUCCCGGGCUUGGAUUCUUCACCUCUAAAUUCCCAAGUGCAAUACUACUUCAGUAUGCUAGAAGUUGUUAAAACCCUAUGUACAUGCAACUUUGUGAAAGAUACAAUUUACAGAUAUUUAAUAAAGAAAGUGCAAGGAGAGGAUGUAUUACACCAACACCAAGGCCAAGUUUUCAACAACAUUCCUCAAAGUUCUUCACAUUUCAUCUGAUAUUAAAUUCCUACUAGGAAUAUACCAAUUAGUAACAUCCACAUACAGUCAACAUACAUAAUAAUUAGCAACCCAUACUAGAAACCAGUGAGAUAAUUGACCAGAAAUUUUACAAUGAAAUUUUACAAUUCUGGAAUGGAACAGAUUGCUCUUUCACAACCAAGGUGGAAUUAAGCUCAUCCUCCGUGCCAAUGGUGCAAUUUACCCAUCGCUUGGCACAAACUUGUACAGUUUCACCCUUCUACUCCUAAGCAUAACUUCUUAUUAUGGCUAAACAUUGUGGCCCCCAACUGCUGAACGACUUAUAUUAAAGCAGCCAGACAUCUCAUCCUUUAAAUGCCUAUUCCCAUUAUGUCGUUAAAGUUAGCUUAUAAUUCUCAUAUUUAGCAUGUAGAGGUAGAAUUUAGACUGUACAUAAAAGAAUCCCCAAAAUUCUAGAUUUUCCCAGAAAAAAGAAAUUACCCAUGACAACCCCAUUAACCAGAAAUCAUUCCAUCAAUUUCCUUUAAUCCCUGCCCUAUUCCGAACACAGCAAGCUUCAAAUCCACAUAGCAAGAGGAAAACAAGCAAAGUGGUAUUGUGCUUCAGUAAAUACCAGCCAAAGAACUUUACACGCUAACUGAUUCUUUUGCAUAGACAAUAAGACUUAAACAACUAUCUGAAGCAAGAAACAUUUACCCAUGAUUUAAGGAAUUGGGAACCAUAUUAUCCUCGCGGUGCUCAGCAUCGUUGGAUAAAGCGACUGAUUGCUCUGAAUUUUCAGUUGGGGGCAUCGCCAUCGGAGCUUUCACCUGUUAGAAAUGACAGUCGAGAUAUUUUAACAAUCUCCCUGUGACGCCGGUACCCUAAUA
RNAcentral lists this unclassified non-coding RNA (3810 nucleotides) under Hevea brasiliensis (rubber tree). Lineage: Eukaryota; Viridiplantae; Streptophyta; Magnoliopsida; Malpighiales; Euphorbiaceae. The record is from RNAcentral.